AUAGUGAUCCGGUGGUCCCGCGUGGAAGGGCCAUCGCUCAACGGAUAAAAGGUACUCCGGGGAUAACAGGCUGAUGACGCCCAAGAGUCCAUAUCGACGGCGUUGUUUGGCACCUCGAUGUCGGCUCAUCGCAUCCUGGGGCUGGAGCAGGUCCCAAGGGUUUGGCUGUUCGCCAAUUAAAGCGGUACGUGAGCUGGGUUUAGAACGUCGUGAGACAGUUUGGUCCCUAUCUGCCGUGGGUGUUGGAAACUUGAGAGGAGCUGCCCCUAGUACGAGAGGACCGGGGUGGACAUAUCUCUGGUGGAGCUGUUGUCGCGCCCGCGGCAUUGCAGCGUAGCUAAAUAUGGACAGGAUAACCGCUGAAAGCAUCUAAGCGGGAAGCCCCCCUCAAAACUAGGUUUCCCUUGAGAACCGUGGCAGACCACCACGUCGAUAGGCCGGAUGUGGAAGCGCAGCAAUGCGUGUAGCUUACCGGUACUAAUUGUUCAAUCGAUUUGAUUAU
Molecule: ribosomal RNA, 502 nt
Filed under: Alphaproteobacteria bacterium
Lineage: Bacteria; Pseudomonadati; Pseudomonadota; Alphaproteobacteria
Description: partial 23S ribosomal RNA
Rfam family: Bacterial large subunit ribosomal RNA
Source: RNAcentral